This is a long non-coding RNA of Betta splendens (Siamese fighting fish), 1544 nucleotides long. RefSeq lists it as uncharacterized. The transcript is spliced from 3 exons. Lineage: Eukaryota; Metazoa; Chordata; Actinopteri; Anabantiformes; Osphronemidae. The record is from RefSeq and is a predicted model, not a curated record.
UCCACCCCCCGUACACUGUUGCUUGUGCUACAAACGUGUAAUAACCUAAUCCGCUGGCUCUAAUUUGAAUGUGCUGCAGACAGACUUUGGGUGGAAGCCACGUCUGGCGCACAACUUUAAUUUGACAAUUCGUCAGGGCUCAAUCGGUUCGGAAAAGCCUCGACAAGUGAGUUCAGGGCUGUUGGAAGGAGGAAUGUUUUACAGCGCAACUUGUCCAACUGUUGACGCGGCCCCGGAGCGUCGGGGGGACGAGGGAUGGGGGGGGGGACGGGGGCUGGAGACGUUUGUGCAAGCUGCUGCUGGGAAACGUUCCCAAACGUGAAGCUGCGCAUUCACGACGCGAGGUUCUGAUGAGCUCCCGCUGUAAAAACGCGCUCUGCAUGACGUGGUUAAAGCGCUUUUGCAUUGAGCUUUUGUGCGUCGGAGCAGAAGCAUCGGUGCCAGUGACAGGAACGGGAAUAACGAGUAGCGAGGCUGCGGCGCCGACUCCUGGAUCGUUAGAUUGGGAGUCGGACGCGGCCGAUCUCCGGGGCGACGCCUCGUCUUUUCACCGCCGCAUCCUCGUGCCGGCGUUUUGUUCUCGUGCCCUUUGAGCCGCUCGCCUCCGCCCUGCGUCGCCCCCCCUGCUGACAUCACUAAUGGCCGCGUCAGGGUGCGUCACUGGCUGACGAUGGGACGAUGGCUGUCAGUUCACUGUGAUGGAAGAACGUGUCUCUCAUCAUAUAGUUCAUCAUAUGUUGCAUGCAUAGGCUCAUAUGUUGGUCGUGUAUCAGUUAUAUGUAUGGGACAUGUUUAUGGUUGGUUCAGCCCGGCCCUCCCUGGUUCCGGCUCCUUUCUGACUCUCUCUCAUCAGCUUCUUUACUGGGAAUUUCCACAACGCCGUCAGCGACAGCGACAACUCACCUCAAGAGAAGGGCUGAAAAAGGAACGGCCUCGUUAGAACGCGUGUCAGUGGGACGCGACGGGGGAAACGCAGCAGAGCGUGCGUGAGCACGCACAAAUUCGCAGUAAAAGGAAACACCUGAUUCACGGCUUUAUGGAACCAGAGUCUCCCUCUCUUCCGCUUCGUCUGUGUCGUCUGUUCUCGAUCCUCCGCCAGACAUUCAGACCCGACUGGUUACAGCUGCCACUCUGAUAGAAUCUAACACCACACGCUGUGGAUGAGUCCAGGCCUCCCAUGGGUUCAUGUCCAACCGAGGACGGGUGAUUUACCUCAGAGUCAUCCUGUAGUUUUAUUCUUACAGUCCACAUCAGACCUAAAGUUGUUGAGACUUAUAUGUAAUUGUGUCUACAUUUCUAGACUUUGCUGAACCUGCUGUUUCUGCAUCCGGCCCUGCUUUCGCUUUGCUUCCAUCUCACCUUGUUCCAUGUCAAGGUCUAAUCUUCACUAAUUUGAAGGCUUGUUUUUAGUCAAUACUAAAGUCAGUUCGAAUCAUUGUAAAUGCAUUUUGAAUUGCUGUGUUGAUCAAAGAGACAAUUUUGCAGAUCUGAGUGUACAAACCCAUAAUUUAUGGUUUGAAGUGCGGAGGCUGUCAGGCUGUCAG